GUAUACAAAGUGACAAUUAGAAAAAUAUCAAUUACAAAGUGAUUUAUUGUUUAUUAUUAUUAUUAUUAUAUUUAGUGUGUAUUUUAUAAUAUAUAUAUUUUUUAUAAGUGUUUUUGCUGAAAAGCAAGAUAAAGAAGAAUGCCGAAAUCAUGUGUAUGUAGAUGCGCAGGAGCUGAAUCCUUCUACAAAUUCCCAUCGGAACGAGAAUUAGCAAGGCAGCCUUUCCACCAAUACAAACUACCCAAGUGAAGUGGUUAUGUUUUUUUUCGGGAUGGCCUACGGAAUACAGUUUUAGUUAAGAACUUUUUUUAAGUAUAAUGAAAACUGUAUUAGUUUUAAUUAGGUUAAAGAACAAGUGGCUAACAAAAUUUUUUUUACGAAAAUGUUUAAUUAUAAAUAUAAUUCUUUAAGUAAAUAUUAUAUUAACUUAUAAGAGCGUAGUUAUACAAAAUAUGACCACAUGUUACUUUUAAAUUAUCAAUACCAUAAAUAGUAUUAAUUACUUAAGGUAAU
Bactrocera dorsalis (oriental fruit fly) is the source of this 513-nucleotide long non-coding RNA. RefSeq lists it as uncharacterized. The transcript has 3 exons. The record is from RefSeq and is a predicted model, not a curated record. NCBI's taxonomy places the organism in Eukaryota, Metazoa, Arthropoda, Insecta, Diptera, Tephritidae.